CCUACGGGAGGCAGCAGUGGGGGAUAUUGCACAAUGGGCGGAACCCUGAUGCAGCGACGCCGCGUGGGUGAAGGAGCGUUUCGGCGCGUAAAGCCCUAUCGGCAGGGAAGAAGAUGACGGUACCUGACCCAGAAGCCCCGGAUAACUACGAGCCAGCAGCCGCGGUCAUACGUCGGGGGCCAGCGUUAUCCGGAUUUACUGGGGGUAAAGGGGGCGCAUGAGGGAAUGCAAGCCAGGGGUGAAAGCCCGGGGCCCAACCCCGGGACUGCUCGUGGAACUGCAUGGCUGGAGUACAGGAGGGGCAGGCGGAAUGCCUGGUGUAGCGGUGAAAUGCGUAGAUAUUAGGAGGAACACCGGUGGCGAAGGCGGCCUGCUGGACUGUGACUGACGUUGAGGCCCGAAGGCGUGGGGAGCAAACAGGAUUAGAUACCCUUGUAGUC
Molecule: ribosomal RNA, 440 nt
Filed under: uncultured bacterium
Lineage: Bacteria
Description: partial 16S ribosomal RNA
Rfam family: Bacterial small subunit ribosomal RNA
Source: RNAcentral